This 533-nucleotide long non-coding RNA is filed under the name Theobroma cacao (cacao). Its description in RNAcentral is "long non-coding RNA (TCAC_LNC004529)". The record is from RNAcentral. Lineage: Eukaryota; Viridiplantae; Streptophyta; Magnoliopsida; Malvales; Malvaceae.
GUGAGAGUGAGACUCAGCCAACGCCAAGGCAUGGCUAGAUUUUCAAAUGUAAAAAUAUGUUCAUGUGUGUACUACACUGAACAGCCUUGACGGUCUCGAUCAGAUGCCUAGGCCAAGGCAUCCCCGGGAAUGAUUUUGGCAAGAGCCAAGUUUUAUGAAAUACAUAAGCAAAGUUGAUUAUUUGAGUAAAUUGAUUAUUGAUGUUAUGAAAAACACACUGGAAUGGAAUAUCUUACUUGUCUCCAUUUACUAGACUUUAGAUGGUUUAGAUGGUAUCUGUUUACUCACUGGGAUUUUAUAAUCUCACCACCCUAAAUUCCUCACAUUUUAGGCUCGGGAUAGUCGGUAGAUAGCCGAUUGCAUCAAGGACUUCAGUUAGCCUUGCAUCGACAAAAUUGUAGGUUCAUAGACUCGCACCUUAUUGGUUAGUUGGGGGCCCACGUGUCACUGUAAAAGUAAUUUUAUACUUCAGUUAUCUGCUUUAAAGUACGUAUGAAUAUAUUUAGCUUUUACACUACAAAAAUUAAUUACGG